UACGUAGGGGGCUAGCGUUAUCCGGAAUUACUGGGCGUAAAGGGUGCGUAGGUGGUUUCUUAAGUCAGAGGUGAAAGGCUACGGCUCAACCGUAGUAAGCCUUUGAAACUGAGAAACUUGAGUGCAGGAGAGGAGAGUAGAAUUCCUAGUGUAGCGGUGAAAUGCGUAGAUAUUAGGAGGAAUACCAGUUGCGAAGGCGGCUCUCUGGACUGUAACUGACACUGAGGCACGAAAGCGUGGGGAGCAAACAGGAUUAGAUACCCUGGUAGUCCCUGA
RNAcentral lists this ribosomal RNA (276 nucleotides) under uncultured prokaryote. Its description in RNAcentral is "partial 16S ribosomal RNA". It matches the Rfam family "Bacterial small subunit ribosomal RNA", at positions 524 to 800 of the family's 1533-position model. The record is from RNAcentral.